This 159-nucleotide ribosomal RNA is filed under the name Sordaria tenerifae. RNAcentral describes it as "Preussia tenerifae 5.8S ribosomal RNA". It matches the Rfam family "5.8S ribosomal RNA". From Rfam's summary of the family: 5.8S ribosomal RNA (5.8S rRNA) is a component of the large subunit of the eukaryotic ribosome. It is transcribed by RNA polymerase I as part of the 45S precursor that also contains 18S and 28S rRNA. The record is from RNAcentral. Lineage: Eukaryota; Fungi; Ascomycota; Sordariomycetes; Sordariales; Sordariaceae.
AAACUUUCAACAACGGAUCUCUUGGUUCUGGCAUCGAUGAAGAACGCAGCGAAAUGCGAUAAGUAGUGUGAAUUGCAGAAUUCAGUGAAUCAUCGAAUCUUUGAACGCACAUUGCGCCCCUUGGUAUUCCUUGGGGCAUGCCUGUUCGAGCGUCAUUUG